UACGGAGGGUGCAAGCGUUAUCCGGAAUCACUGGGUUUAAAGGGUGCGUAGGCGGUCUUAUAAGUCAGUCGUGAAAUCGUUGGGCUUAACCCAUACAAUUGCGAUUGAUACUGUUUGACUUGAAUCAGGUUGAGGUCGGCGGAAUGUGACAUGUAGCGGUGAAAUGCUUAGAUAUGUCAUAGAACACCGAUUGCGAAGGCAGCUGGCUGGGCCUGAAUUGACGCUGAGGCACGAAAGCGUGGGGAGCAAACAGG
This 254-nucleotide ribosomal RNA is filed under the name uncultured bacterium. RNAcentral's name for it is "partial 16S ribosomal RNA". It matches the Rfam family "Bacterial small subunit ribosomal RNA", at positions 524 to 776 of the family's 1533-position model. The record is from RNAcentral.